RNAcentral lists this ribosomal RNA (398 nucleotides) under bacterium enrichment culture clone ALO1_GLFRUDD03FNBBU. RNAcentral's name for it is "bacterial SSU rRNA". It matches the Rfam family "Bacterial small subunit ribosomal RNA", at positions 9 to 407 of the family's 1533-position model. The record is from RNAcentral.
GAGUUUGAUCUUGGCUCAGAUUGAACGCUGGCGGCAUGCCUUACACAUGCAAGUCGAACGGCAGCACGGGAGCUUGCUCCUGGUGGCGAGUGGCGAACGGGUGAGUAAUGCAUCGGAACGUAUCCUGGAGUGGGGGAUAACGUAGCGAAAGUUACGCUAAUACCGCAUAUUCUGUGAGCAGGAAAGCGGGGGACCUUCGGGCCUCGCGCUCUUGGAGCGGCCGAUGUCGGAUUAGCUAGUUGGUGAGGUAAAGGCUCACCAAGGCGACGAUCCGUAGCAGGUCUGAGAGGAUGAUCUGCCACACUGGAACUGAGACACGGUCCAGACUCCUACGGGAGGCAGCAGUGGGGAAUUUUGGACAAUGGGGGCAACCCUGAUCCAGCCAUGUCGCGUGAGUG